Molecule: long non-coding RNA, 3475 nt
Organism: Patella vulgata (common limpet)
Lineage: Eukaryota; Metazoa; Mollusca; Gastropoda; Patellidae
Exons: 2
Source: RefSeq, a predicted model, not a curated record
UCCACAUUCACAAUGUUAAUUCUUGUAUCUUAGACAGAUGGAGCAAAAUGUGGAAACCCCUUGAUUUACUUCAUUCUCAGCCAAGUUAUCAUUGUUUGUCCAUAGGCGUACGACCUGGGGGGGGGGGGGCGCCCCCCCCCCCCAUUUUGGGCACCAAAUGCUGGGAAAAUUUGGGCACACAAUUGUACUUUGUAAAAGUUGUAUAAAAAAUAGUGUGUUCUUCAAUGUGUCCAAUUUAACAGCGAAUUUAAAUUCAGAGUGUCUAUAGUUAGGCAAUUAAAUAGAAAUCUGAAGACUCAUACCCUCUAUUGUUUGGAGUACAGUAAGCCACGAGUUACAGUUACAUAAACAACUGUUUUUAGUUGUGUAUAUUACAAGUUAAUAAAAUUUAGUUCUCUUUUAGUAAUACUAUUUAUAACAGCGUAAGCAUUUUUCAUAAAUCCCGGUUUUCUCAUAUUCUAGUAGUAAAUUUAUUUUAUAUUUUCUAUCUAUCAGGAAAAUGGGUACAGAAAAUCUGCAGACGCCUGCAAGAAUCGCAUAAAGAAUAUGAAGCAUUCUUAUAAAAAAAAUAAAGGACCACAACAAUAAAAGUGGGAGUGGCAAGAAAACUAGCAAGUUUUUUGACGCUAUGGAUAAAAUAUUAGGAACCAGACCCGCUACCCGUCCAACACAUAUUCUGGAGACAAGUAUUAAUUCAGAAACACAAGAUUUGGAUGAUUUUGAUGAUGAUGAUAAUGAUGAGGAACCAACAAGAGUCAAUUUGGAAAAUGAAGAAAAUGAGCCUACAGAAACCGUCCUCCGUAAACAGCCAGAAAAAAAAGGUUCAGUUGCUAUUUAUUCUAAAUGGUUAUCAAUAUUUGAAAAGAGUACAACACUGGAGCUGCUUUCUGUCUAAGAACGUGGUAAACCGGUCACUAAUUCCUUCUGUGAUUCAAUAUAAAUUUUAAAAAAUGCUAGAAUAACAUCCCACUGAAAACUAGCUGUACGUAUAGAUGAGUGUUGUGCAGGACAAAUGGUAUGUUUACUGGUUAUAAAGUACACGGAACAUUUGAUUUUGUAUCCCAAUCAAAUUAGAAAAUGAAAUGAAAUGGGGUUUAACGUCCUACUCUUCUGCACCUAACCUGGGCUAAUUGAAGACGGGCAUACGCCAUACAGUGUGCUAUGAGGGAAAUUUUGCCCGGGCAGCGGCGCUACGGCCUACUCUUAUAUCGAAUUCCAACUGCCAAGGGAUCUUUUAAGUGCACGCCAAUGUGUACACUGGACCUCGGUUUUUCGUCCCAUCCGAACGACUAGACAGCUGUCCUUGUCAGGCCCUCCGUUCUGCAUCACUGACAAAGGGAAACCACGCCGGAAAUUCGAGAUGAACUUUCUCGGCCAAUGCAGGGAUCGAACACCUGACCUCCAGGCUAGCGAGCCAGCGUCUUACCCACUUAGCCACGUGAUCCCCCCAAUCAAAUUAGAAAUUAUAGGUGUUCAAAAAAGUCAUACCUGUGACAACGCCCUUAACUACUUUAUAUAGCUAUUAUUUACCUAAAGAAUUUUGUUUAUGAUUUUAAUACAUAAUAAGAUCGGAUUCAAAAUAGUGUAGCCAUGAAUAGGUAAAACAAAACAGAAGAGUGACUUAAUAAGGUGUAUACCUAUAUGGAAAUAAAAUGCAGGACUUGAAAUGUUCUCUGACAGGUAGUAAGUAGGUGGACUAAAUUUACUAAUGUUCAGGAAAUUGACUCCAGACCACAAUAGGCCUACUCAUUAUGAUGUCACAUUUAUUUAAUUAUUCCUUUACAAUAUGGUUAUUUUUGGUACAUGCCUGACCUCCAGGGACAGAACCACGCCCAAUUAUUGUAUAAGAACUUUAACACACCAUCCACACAAGUUUUCAUCUAUAGCAUUUUGAAGUAUCUACACAGAAGUACAUGUGUAACGGCACCAUGGUAAAUAUUGUGGUUGUUUUUGGAUAAUUAAGAGUGACAGGUUAGUUACUGAAGGGAUAUUUCGAGGCCCGAAUUGUCAAUCAUUGUUCAUUUAUUUAAACAUUAAAGAGUUAUUUUAUUUACUUACAGGACAAAUACAUGAAUUUUAUUUGUCAUUCCAUUUUACCAUGGCUCAAGUUUUAAUAAAUUUAUUUCCAUGUUUUAAUUAUUAAUAUCCAUAUCAUUAUCAAAUGUGUCAUGAAGCUGAUAUAUGUACUUGGUUGUGAAAGUUAACUGUAGUUGUAACACGUUUUAUGUGAUUUCAGUUUUUAUGAAUUUAAAUUACCAGUAUGAGAUUAAUUGUUUCAAUGGCAUUUAGCAAUUGAACUGGGAAUACACAGGACAAUCCUUGUUUAUAUCUAAAGCAAAGUUUUGACUUGGCUUCUUAUCGUUAUCAAAUAAUGCAAAACGGUAUGAGGUGGGUGUUUUCUUCUUUGUAAGUCAAUUGAUAAGCCCCUAAUAAGAACAAAACAGUCUGUUAUGUUUUCAAAAAUGGUAAAUUCUCUUUUAUUUAAUACAUUAAUUGAAAGACAUAAAUUAAAAAUUGAUCAAUAACUUUAUAGUGUAGGCUUGUACAGUGGACUCGGAAUAUUCCGAAUUAUUAGACCAAUCUGGGGACCCCCGUUAAACGAUUUCUGUUGAAUUAACAUUGGAUAAUCCGGCCUUCAAUCAGUGGGUGUUAACCGACAAGCAAUCAAUUAUCGGUGAGCUUAAAGUAUGUGUCAGUCUUUGUUAAUAAAACCUUGAUAAUUUUAUAAUUUCUUGUAAGAGAGUGCUUGGUAUUUCAUUUGAUUUUUUCACGUCAAAUACAGCAACAUUAAAUAUAAAUUGCUGAGAUGAAGAAUCACUAUCAUUAUAAUAUUUUGUUCAUAACGACGCACAAGUGUUUUGUACGCACCCAAAGUAAAAACAUAAUAAUUUUAUAUAAUAAAGUUUCAAAUGUACAGAAAGGUUUAUCAUAUUUUUAAGUUCUGGGUAUUCGAAGGUGCAUUAAAAUAAUACUUUGGUAUUCGAGGUACAAUAAUACUUGCGGUUUUGAGACAAUUAAGUAUUCCGUCAUGGUGUAUAAUCUGGCAUUGUAUCGGUCCUGUACAAUGUUGAAAGUGAAAGAGUCCACUGUAUAUUUUAAUUACAUACACUUCUUCAGUGAUGGACAACAAAGAUGACAAUUGGACCUCUUAUUAUAUAAUCCAACUCUGGCUUAAUGAGAUGCAUGGAUCAAAAAUCAAGAUGCCAAAAGGUGUCAAUUUAAAUUCUGUAUCCAAAUACCUUUAAAUUAGUAUGUGACUUAGAAAUAUGCUUGGAAUAUUUAAAUUUGAAUGUACCAUAAUAUUACUUUUAAGAAAGAAGAUAUUGAAAAUUUUGGAAACAAAUUGAACUCCAUAGCAACCAUUUGGCCAGAGCUGAUCACAUAUAUAGUUAUAAUAGACCCACUGUGUUAUAAGAUUAUCAGUUAUUUUUCUGUUGUAUGAUUUUUAUUAUGAAAAUAAACCAAUUUAGUUUGA